GAGAUGGAUAGAAAGUGCUGGUU
This 23-nucleotide non-coding RNA is filed under the name Arabidopsis thaliana (thale cress). Lineage: Eukaryota; Viridiplantae; Streptophyta; Magnoliopsida; Brassicales; Brassicaceae. The record is from RNAcentral.